GAUGAAGAACGCAGCGAAAUGCGAUACGUAAUGUGAAUUGCAAAUUCAGUGAAUCAUCGAGUCUUUGAACGCACAUUGCGCCCCCUGGUAUUCCGGGGGGCAUGCCUGUUCGAGCGUCAUUUCACCACUCAAGCCUCGCUUGGUAUUGGGCAACGCGGUCCGCCGCGUGCCUCAAAUCGACCGGCUGGGUCUUCUGUCCCCUAAGCGUUGUGGAAACUAUUCGCUAAAGGGUGUUCGGGAGGCUACGCCGUAAAACAACCCCAUUUCUAAGGUUGACCUCGGAUCAGGUAGGGAUACCCGCUGAACUUAAGCAUAUCAAUAAGCGGAGGA
RNAcentral lists this unclassified non-coding RNA (330 nucleotides) under soil metagenome. RNAcentral's name for it is "partial contains 5.8S ribosomal RNA, internal transcribed spacer 2, and large subunit ribosomal RNA". The stretch from base 1 to 119 matches the Rfam family "5.8S ribosomal RNA", at positions 35 to 154 of the family's 154-position model. The record is from RNAcentral.